This 492-nucleotide ribosomal RNA is filed under the name uncultured bacterium. Its description in RNAcentral is "partial 16S ribosomal RNA". It matches the Rfam family "Bacterial small subunit ribosomal RNA", at positions 29 to 507 of the family's 1533-position model. The record is from RNAcentral.
AGUGAACGCUGGCGGUAGGCCUAACACAUGCAAGUCGAACGGCAGCACAGUAAGAGCUUGCUCUUACGGGUGGCGAGUGGCGGACGGGUGCGGAAUACAUCGGAAUCUACUUUUUCGUGGGGGAUAACGUAGGGAAACUUACGCUAAUACCGCAUACGACCUACGGGUGAAAGCAGGGGAUCUUCGCACCUUGCGCGAUUGAAUGAGCCGAUGUCGGAUUAGCUAGUUGGCGGGGUAAAGGCCCACCAAGGCGACGAUCCGUAGCUGGUCUGAGAGGAUGAUCAGCCACACUGGAACUGAGACACGGUCCAGACUCCUACGGGAGGCAGCAGUGGGGAAUAUUGGACAAUGGGCGCAAGCCUGAUCCAGCCAUACCGCGUGGGUGAAGAAGGCCUUCGGGUUGUAAAGCCCUUUUGUUGGGAAAGAAAAGCAGCAGGUUAAUACCCCGCUGUUCUGACGGUACCCAAAGAAUAAGCACCGGCUAACUUCGUG